Molecule: ribosomal RNA, 365 nt
Filed under: Eckloniaichthys scylliorhiniceps
Lineage: Eukaryota; Metazoa; Chordata; Actinopteri; Blenniiformes; Gobiesocidae
Description: partial small subunit ribosomal RNA
Rfam family: Bacterial small subunit ribosomal RNA
Source: RNAcentral
UGUCCGCCAGGGGACUACGAGCUUCAGCUUGAAACCCAAAGGACUUGGCGGAGCUUAAUAUCCAUCUAGAGGAGCCUGUUAUAGAACCGAUAACCCCCGUUAAACCUCACCCUCUCUUGUUCUUACCGUCUAUAUACCGCCGUCGUCAGCCUACCCUGUGAAGAACUCAUAGUAGGCAAAAUUAGCAUAGCCCAAAACGUCAGGUCGAGGUGUAGCAAAUGAGGGGGGAAGAAAUGGGCUACAUUUUCUGCAACCAGAACAUACGAAAAAGUGAUUGAAACAUCUAUUAGAAGGAGGAUUUAGCAGUAAGAGGUAAGUAGAGAGUACCCCUGAAGGAGGCCCUAAAGCGCGCACACACCGCCCGU